AGUGAACGCUGGCGGUAGGCCUAACACAUGCAAGUCGAACGGCAGCACAGUAAGAGCUUGCUCUUACGGGUGGCGAGUGGCGGACGGGUGAGGAAUACAUCGGAAUCUACUUUUUCGUGGGGGAUAACGUAGGGAAACUUACGCUAAUACCGCAUACGACCUACGGGUGAAAGCAGGGGAUCUUCGGACCUUGCGCGAUUGAAUGAGCCGAUGUCGGAUUAGCUAGUUGGCGGGGUAAAGGCCCACCAAGGCGACGAUCCGUAGCUGGUCUGAGAGGAUGAUCAGCCACACUGGAACUGAGACACGGCCCAGACUCCUACGGGAGGCAGCAGUGGGGAAUAUUGGACAAUGGGCGCAAGCCUGAUCCAGCCAUACCGCGUGGGUGAAGAAGGCCUUCAGGUUGUAAAGCCCUUUUGUUGGGAAAGAAAAGCAGCAGGUUAAUACCCCGCUGUUCUGACGGUACCCAAAGAAUAAGCACCGGCUAACUUCGUG
This 492-nucleotide ribosomal RNA is filed under the name uncultured bacterium. RNAcentral describes it as "partial 16S ribosomal RNA". It matches the Rfam family "Bacterial small subunit ribosomal RNA", at positions 29 to 507 of the family's 1533-position model. The record is from RNAcentral.